RNAcentral lists this ribosomal RNA (436 nucleotides) under Canis aureus (golden jackal). RNAcentral describes it as "partial 12S ribosomal RNA". It matches the Rfam family "Bacterial small subunit ribosomal RNA", at positions 768 to 1404 of the family's 1533-position model. The record is from RNAcentral. Lineage: Eukaryota; Metazoa; Chordata; Mammalia; Carnivora; Canidae.
CAAACUGGGAUUAGAUACCCCACUAUGCUUAGCCCUAAACACAGAUAAUUUUACAACAAAAUAAUUCGCCAGAGGACUACUAGCAAUAGCUUAAAACUCAAAGGACUUGGCGGUGCUUUGUAUCCCUCUAGAGGAGCCUGUUCUAUAAUCGAUAAACCCCGAUAAACCUCACCACCCUUUGCUAAUUCAGUCUAUAUACCGCCAUCUUCAGCAAACCCUCAAAAGGUAGAAUAGUAAGCACAAUCAUUUUACAUAAAAAAGUUAGGUCAAGGUGUAACCUAUGGGGUGGGAAGAAAUGGGCUACAUUUUCUACCCAAGAACAUUCCACGAAUGUUUUUAUGAAAUUAAAAACUGAAGGAGGAUUUAGUAGUAAAUUAAGAAUAGAGAGCUUAAUUGAAUAGGGCCAUGAAGCACGCACACACCGCUCGUCACCCUC